UACGAAGGGGGCUAGCGUUGCUCGGAAUUACUGGGCGUAAAGAGCGCGUAGGCGGCGCGGUACGACCGCUGUGAAAGCCCCCAGCUCAACUGGGGAGGGUCAGCGGUAACGGCCGUGCUUUGAGUGCAGGAGAGGGAAGUGGAACUCCGGGAGUAGCGGUGAAAUGCGUAGAGACCCGGAGGAACACCAGUGGCGAAGGCGGCUUCCUGGUCUGCGACUGACGCUGUGGCGCGAAAGCUAGGGGAGCAAACGGG
RNAcentral lists this ribosomal RNA (254 nucleotides) under uncultured bacterium. Its description in RNAcentral is "partial 16S ribosomal RNA". It matches the Rfam family "Bacterial small subunit ribosomal RNA", at positions 524 to 776 of the family's 1533-position model. The record is from RNAcentral.